RNAcentral lists this ribosomal RNA (466 nucleotides) under uncultured bacterium. RNAcentral's name for it is "partial 16S ribosomal RNA". It matches the Rfam family "Bacterial small subunit ribosomal RNA", at positions 28 to 507 of the family's 1533-position model. The record is from RNAcentral.
GAUGAACGCUGGCGGCGUGCUUAACACAUGCAAGUCGAACGGAAAGGCCCAAGCUUGCUUGGGUACUCGAGUGGCGAACGGGUGAGUAACACGUGGGUGAUCUGCCCUGCACUUCGGGAUAAGCCUGGGAAACUGGGUCUAAUACCGGAUAGGACCACAUUUUGGAUGGUGUGGUGGAAAGUUUUUCGGUGUGGGAUGAGCUCGCGGCCUAUCAGCUUGUUGGUGGGGUAAUGGCCUACCAAGGCGUCGACGGGUAGCCGGCCUGAGAGGGUGUAUGGCCACAUUGGGACUGAGAUACGGCCCAGGCACCGACGGGAGGCAGCAGUGGGGAAGAUUGCACAAGGGGCGCCAGCCUGAUGCAGCGACGCCGCGUGGGGGAUGACGGCCUUCGGGUUGUAGACUCCAUUCGCUAGGGACGGAGCAUUAUGUGACGGUACCUGGAGAAGAAGCACCGGCUAACUACGUG